This 589-nucleotide long non-coding RNA is filed under the name Cicer arietinum (chickpea). RNAcentral's name for it is "long non-coding RNA (CARI_LNC000509)". The record is from RNAcentral. Lineage: Eukaryota; Viridiplantae; Streptophyta; Magnoliopsida; Fabales; Fabaceae.
GUCAUUGUGUUAUAUUACUUUUCAAAACAUUAUCUAUAUCGUAAAAUAUGAUUUAAAGCAUGCGUAUAUUCUUUUUUGACUUAUAGAGCAUAGCCUUAAACUUUUUAACUCUACACAAUAAUGGUACAUAUUUGUACAUAACUAUGAAAAACAAAUUUAUUUUACAUUUUCAAGUUACAAACAAAGUAUAACAUAUUUAUCAAUACACCUAAGCAUAGUCAAUUUUUUUUAUGCAUGGCUACCACUCUUUAUUCCAUGCAAUUUACAUAUAUUGUAUAAACUUCUCUCCCUAUAUUUCCCUUCACAUAUUUUUUUGAGCUUAAUAGAACAAGGCAAAGAAAGACAACAAUGAGGCACCGGCCAAGGACCCAACAACAGUCGUCGACGCACCAUUGAUAGGGCCAGGGGCCGGUGCAGGAACCUCAGUAGCAGCCAAUGUUGCACUCAUCGAGGCUGCGGCAACGAGAACAACACAUGUAACCUUCUUCAUGUCCAUGAUGUUGUAAUCAAAUAUGUGAACUUAGUAUAGAAAAAAAUUGUUUUUUUUUAUGGUAUUGUGUUUGGUUCAUGGGUCUUGGAAAGAAUGAGA